RNAcentral lists this ribosomal RNA (208 nucleotides) under uncultured bacterium. RNAcentral describes it as "partial 16S ribosomal RNA". It matches the Rfam family "Bacterial small subunit ribosomal RNA", at positions 568 to 774 of the family's 1533-position model. The record is from RNAcentral.
CACGUAGGCGGUUUGUUAAGUUGGAUGUGAAAGCCCAGGGCUCAACCUUGGAAUUGCAUCCGAUACUGGCAGGCUAGAGUACAGUAGAGGGAGGUGGAAUUUCCGGUGUAGCGGUGAAAUGCGUAGAGAUCGGAAGGAACACCAGUGGCGAAGGCGGCCUCCUGGACUGAUACUGACGCUGAGGUGCGAAAGCGGUGGGGAGCAAACA